Molecule: small nuclear RNA, 110 nt
Organism: Mustela putorius furo (domestic ferret)
Lineage: Eukaryota; Metazoa; Chordata; Mammalia; Carnivora; Mustelidae
Source: Ensembl
GUGUUGGCUUCUCUGGCAGCACAUAUACUAAAAAUUGAAAUGAUGCAGAGUAAAUUAGCAUGGCCUCUACUCAAGGAUGACAAAAAAUUUGUGAGGCAUUACAUAUUUCU